UACGUAGGUGGCAAGCGUUGUCCGGAUUUAUUGGGUUUAAAGGGUGCGUAGGCGGUCCUGUAAGUCAGUGGUGAAAUACGGCAGCUCAACUGUCGAGGUGCCAUUGAUACUGCGGGACUUGAGUACAGUCGAGGUGGGCGGAAUUGACGGUGUAGCGGUGAAAUGCUUAGAUAUCGUCAAGAACACCGAUAGCGAAGGCAGCUUACUAGGCUGUAACUGACGCUGAGGCACGAAGGUGCGGGGAUCAAACAGG
RNAcentral lists this ribosomal RNA (253 nucleotides) under uncultured bacterium. Its description in RNAcentral is "partial 16S ribosomal RNA". It matches the Rfam family "Bacterial small subunit ribosomal RNA", at positions 524 to 776 of the family's 1533-position model. The record is from RNAcentral.